This 696-nucleotide long non-coding RNA is filed under the name Gossypium barbadense (sea-island cotton). Its description in RNAcentral is "long non-coding RNA (GBAR_LNC014742)". Lineage: Eukaryota; Viridiplantae; Streptophyta; Magnoliopsida; Malvales; Malvaceae. The record is from RNAcentral.
CGAUUAUAAAAAAAACUUCAAAAUCAGGAAGAAGACAGAUCGGUUUUAAGGGCAUAUAUUACUGAUGUAAAAAGACUUGAAAAGUAUUUUGUCUCAUGUCGAUUCAAACAUGUAGGACGACAUGCAAAUAUAGAAGCACAUACCUUGGCUAAAGAGGGGCUUAAAGAUAGGAGUAAAACUUGUCUGGGUUCUGGUCAUUGUAGAGGAACGGACUGCGGAGACAGGGGGAAAUGCAGGGGUUUAGUCUUCUACCCAUGAAACCUGAAGAAAGAUUGGAAAAUUUGGUGAACGCAAAUUUGAAAAAAAAAAUGAGAUUGUAAGAAACUAGGAAAUGAAUCCAAUAAAGAGGAGGGAUACCUUAGAUCCACGAAAUCUUGUUGCUAGGAUCUGAAAUUACAAGUUCAAAUACUUAUCUGAAGGGGCAUUCUCUGUUGAUUUCAUGGAGAAGAUUUGGGCAUCCUCCGGAGCACUGAAAUGACGAAUUGUUUGUAGAGAAGACAUGGAGGCACCAAAAUGGAGUAUCUGGCUGCAGAUGUUUUAGGAUUAGGGUUCUUUUGGUUUUUGCCCUAUUUCUUUUGAAGUUGGACUUAGGGUUUUUGUGCUUUUGUUUGUUUUUUUUCUUUGGAUUUGGGGUUGAGCCUUGUUUCAGUGGUCUUUUUUUUUCAUUUUAAUUUUUUAAUAAAAGUUACGGACUAG